UACGUAGGGUGCAGGCGUUAAUCGGAAUUACUGGGCGUAAAGCGUGCGCAGGCGGUUUGCUAAGACAGAUGUGAAAUCCCCGGGCUUAACCUGGGAACUGCGUCUGAUACUGGACGGCUUGAGUAUGGGAGAGGGAUGUAGAAUUCCAGGUGUAGCGGUGAAAUGCGUAGAUAUCUGGAGGAAUACCGGUGGCGAAGGCGGCAUCCUGGACCAUUACUGACGCUGAGGCGCGAAAGCUAGGGGAGCAAACGGG
This 253-nucleotide ribosomal RNA is filed under the name uncultured bacterium. Its description in RNAcentral is "partial 16S ribosomal RNA". It matches the Rfam family "Bacterial small subunit ribosomal RNA", at positions 524 to 776 of the family's 1533-position model. The record is from RNAcentral.